CCUACGGGAGGCAGCAGUGGGGAAUAUUGCACAAUGGGGGAACCCUGAUGCAGCGACGCCGCGUGAGUGGAGAAGUAUUUCGGUAUGGAAAGCUCUAUCAGCAGGGAAGAAAAUAACGGUACCUGAUUAAUAAGCCCCGGCUAACUACGUGCCAGCAGCCGCGGUGAUACGUAGGGGGCAAGCGUUAUCCGGAUUUACUGGGUGUAAAGGGAGCGGAGACGGCAGCACAAGUCUGGAGUGAAAUGCCGGGGCUUAACCCCGGAACUGCUUUGGAAACGGUGCAGCUAGAGUGCAGGAGAGGUAAGUGGAAUUCCUAGUGUAGCGGUGAAAUGCGUAGAUAUUAGGAGGAACACCAGUGGCGAAGGCGGCUUACUGGACUGUAACUGACGUUGAGGCUCGAAAGCGUGGGGAGCAAACAGGAUUAGAUACCCUUGUAGUC
Molecule: ribosomal RNA, 439 nt
Filed under: uncultured bacterium
Lineage: Bacteria
Description: partial 16S ribosomal RNA
Rfam family: Bacterial small subunit ribosomal RNA
Source: RNAcentral